GAUGAACGCUGGCGGCGUGCCUAAUACAUGCAAGUCGAGCGAACAGACGAGGAGCUUGCUCCUUUGACGAUAGCGGCGGACGGGAGAGUAACACGUGUAUAACCUACCUAUAAGACUGGGAAAACUUCGGGAAACCGGAGCUAAUACCGUAUAACAUGUUGAACCGCAUGGUUCAAUAGUGAAAGACGGUCUUGCUGUCACUUAUAGAUGGAUCCGCGCCGCAUUAGCUAGUUGGUAAGUUAACGGCUUACGAAGGCAACGAUGCGUAGCCGAGGUGAGAGGGUGAUCGCCCACACUGGAGCUGAGCCACGGUCCAGAGUCCUACGGGAGGCACCAGUAGGGAAUCUUCGGCAGUAGGCGAAAGCCUGACGGAACAACGCCACGUGAGUGAAGGAAGUCUUCGGAUCGUAAAGCUCUGUUAUUAGGGAAAAACAAAUGUGUAAGUAACUAUACACGUCUUGACGGUACCUAAUCAGAAAGCCACGGCUAACUACGUG
RNAcentral lists this ribosomal RNA (497 nucleotides) under uncultured bacterium. RNAcentral's name for it is "partial 16S ribosomal RNA". It matches the Rfam family "Bacterial small subunit ribosomal RNA", at positions 28 to 507 of the family's 1533-position model. The record is from RNAcentral.